Carlito syrichta (Philippine tarsier) is the source of this 654-nucleotide long non-coding RNA. RefSeq lists it as uncharacterized. The record is from RefSeq and is a predicted model, not a curated record. The transcript has 3 exons. NCBI's taxonomy places the organism in Eukaryota, Metazoa, Chordata, Mammalia, Primates, Tarsiidae.
GCAUUUCCCAGGGAUUGGAAUUUAGUGGGGAGCACAUUGAUCAAAGGCUGUCUCAUCCCACAUGGGCACGGAAACAUACCACAUUUUACGGAGGAUGUAGCCCGAGAGAAGAGGGAGGUGGAGGAGACACAUAAAUGAAAAGCACCUUUUCCCUCCUCUGCAAGAUGCACAGGGAAUCUCUGACCUUGUGGUGUUUGGGCGUGAGCGGAUCCUAUGCGGAGGUAUCCAGGUAUUUCCAGAGAUCCUCUAGCAAGCGAGGUCUGCCCUUGCUGGAGCCAACUCGUCUAUAAUAUCUUCCUAACAGCAGGGAUGGCAUCAAGAUGGACAGAUUCAGCAGCUCAGUCUUAUCAUCAAGGAUUCAAAUUCUUUCAGCCUCUCUACUCUGUUGCCUGCAACAACUGCUUUACACAAAGACUGGUUUUUCUUAUGCUUGUGAGAUGAGUGCUGUAAGUUUUCUUGUUUCUGUCCUGUGUGUGUGCAUGUGUGUGUGUGGAGGGUGGAGAGAAUGACUUCCCAUGUAAAUUAAUGAAUUACAUUGCAAAUAUUUUGGAAAGAGGCAAUCAGAAAGAAAGAAAGAAUGCUGGAUGAUCCACGGUGUUCAGCACAGGGAAGAAUGUAAAUAAAUAAAAUCAUGUCACUGUGUUUUGAUGACAA